This 75-nucleotide transfer RNA is filed under the name Phrynosoma platyrhinos (Desert horned lizard). RNAcentral's name for it is "tRNA-OTHER". Lineage: Eukaryota; Metazoa; Chordata; Lepidosauria; Squamata; Phrynosomatidae. The record is from RNAcentral.
GGUUAGGACAUGGCAUAAUGGUUUGUGCAUUGGACUAUGAUUCUGGAGACCAGGGUUCAAAUCCCAGCUCAGCCA